CAGCCGCCGCGGUAAUACGAAGGGUGCAAGCGUUAAUCGGAAUUACUGGGCGUAAAGCGUGCGCAGGCGGUUAUAUAAGUCAGAUGUGAAAUCCCCGGGCUCAACCUGGGAACUGCAUUUGAGACUGUAUGGCUAGAGUGUGUCAGAGGGGGGUAGAAUUCCACGUGUAGCAGUGAAAUGCGUAGAUAUGUGGAGGAAUACCGAUGGCGAAGGCAGCCCCCUGGGAUAACACUGACGCUCAUGCACGAAAGCGUGGGGAGCAAACAGGAUUAGAUACCCCGGUAGUCCCUGUCUCUUAUAC
RNAcentral lists this ribosomal RNA (301 nucleotides) under uncultured bacterium. RNAcentral's name for it is "partial 16S ribosomal RNA". It matches the Rfam family "Bacterial small subunit ribosomal RNA", at positions 509 to 807 of the family's 1533-position model. The record is from RNAcentral.